This 24-nucleotide unclassified non-coding RNA is filed under the name Dictyostelium discoideum. Lineage: Eukaryota; Evosea; Eumycetozoa; Dictyosteliales; Dictyosteliaceae. The record is from RNAcentral.
GGGUAACUUCGGGAAAAGGAUUGG